Molecule: long non-coding RNA, 227 nt
Filed under: Elaeis guineensis (African oil palm)
Lineage: Eukaryota; Viridiplantae; Streptophyta; Magnoliopsida; Arecales; Arecaceae
Description: long non-coding RNA (EGUI_LNC072240)
Source: RNAcentral
AGGGCCUAAUAUGCAACCCUUUUUUAAGACAUGGGGUCUUUGUCAUCGCCUCACAAAUAUUUAGAUUACUUUUAACUAAAAUAGUUUGAAAUUUAGAAGACUCCUAAGGAAAGAAGGAAAUUGGAGCAAGACCCUUGGAAAGAUAACUCAUGUCUAGAUAAUUUAAAGGAAAUUUCUCUUCUCCUACUACGGGUGGUGGUAUUGAGGCACGUGUAAGUGAUUGGGUU